This 416-nucleotide long non-coding RNA is filed under the name Carica papaya (papaya). RNAcentral's name for it is "long non-coding RNA (CPAP_LNC012351)". The record is from RNAcentral. Lineage: Eukaryota; Viridiplantae; Streptophyta; Magnoliopsida; Brassicales; Caricaceae.
CAAAAAAUCACGAAAAAUCGAGACUUACCGGCGGCGGUGCUCUCGGGUGCGGCGGCUCCUCCGGCGUGAGUCGCGUUUUGAUGUUUGACUCCGAUCAACCUGUAGAGAAAAGAACGAUGAUCACAGUAGUAUAAAAUUUACAUCGAACGGAGGCCGGGAAGGGCCUCAUCGGAGGCAAAAACUGAGGAGGGGCGCGGCAGCGCCGCUGGGCUUCGGCUGGGUUUUUCGGCCGUUUGGCCGGUGGUUUGACUCCGGUUUGGCCAUAGGCGGACUCAACAUCGAAAAACGAGCAAGGGGGAGAAAAUUUACCUCGAUCGGCGGUCGAAAACUUCCUCGGUGCGGCGGCGGGUGGCGGCGGCCGACUCCUCUGGCGUUUGGUUCUUCUUCUCCAGCAAGGCACUGGCGGCUAGGGUUUU